UCAAGCUAAAAAGAGCGCAGGGUGGAUGCCUUGGCACUAAGAGCCGAUGAAAGACGUGAUAAGCUGCGAUAAGCUACGGGGAGGAGCACAUAUCCAUUGAUCCGUAGAUUUCUGAAUGGGGAAACCCGGCUGAGCAUACCUCAGUCACCGUACACUGAAUCCAUAGGUGUACGGAGGGAACCCGGUGAACUGAAACAUCUAAGUAGCCGGAGGAAGAGAAAGAAAACUCGAUUUUCAAAGUAGCGGCGAGCGAAAUGGAAAGAGCCCAAACCGGAGUGCGUGCACUCCGGGGUUCGGACUGCAUUUAUGACUUCUGACUGUAGCGGAACGGUUCUGGAAAGACCGGCCAGAGAGGGUGAGAGCCCCGUAGGCGAAACGGAAAGAAGCAGAGCAGGAUCCAGAGUACCACGAGACACGAGAAACCUUGUGGGAAUGAGCGGGGACCACCCCGUAAGGCUAAAUACUCCUUAGUGACCGAUAGAGCAGAGUACUGUGAAGGAAAGGUGAAAAGGACCCCGGGAGGGGAGUGAAAGAGAACCUGAAACCCUGUGUUUACAAACUGUGGAAGUACCAUAUGAGUACAACCGCGUACUUUUUGUAGAACGGUCCGGCGAGUUACGUUUACUGGCGAGGUUAAGCACUUAAGGUGCGGAGCCGAAGGGAUACCAAGUCUUAACAGGGCGCAUAGCUUCUUACGAAGCAUUAGUCAGUGUACGUAGACCCGAAACCGGGUGAUCUACCCAUGUCCAGGCUGAAGUUGCCGUAAAAGGCAAUGGAGGGCCGAACGCACAUCCGUUGAAAAGGGUGGCGAUGAGGUGUGGGUAGGGGAGAAAUUCCAAUCGAACCCGGAGAUAGCUGGUUCUCCUCGAAAUAGCUUUAGGGCUAGCCUCGUGUUAACCUUGUGGAGGUAGAGCACUGAAUAUCCUAGGGGGCGUCAAAGUCUACCGAAGAUUAUCAAACUCCGAAUGCCAUAGAGGUGAUGCACGGGAGUCAGACUGCACGAGAUAAGUUGGGUGGUCAAAAGGGAAAGAGCCCAGACCUACAGCUAAGGUCCCAAAGUGCGUGUUAAGUGGAAAAGGAUGUGGGAUUUCGAAGACAACUAGGAUGUUGGCUCAGAAGCAGCCAUACAUUCAAAGAGUGCGUAAUAGCUCACUAGUCGAGAGGUCCUGCGCCGAAAAUGUCCGGGGCUGAAACACGACACCGAAGCUUAGGAAUGUAGAUGAACCUUUGGUUCUAUAUACAUUGGUAGAGGAGCAUUGUUAGCGCAGCGAAGCUGUACCGAUAAGGAGCAGUGGAGUGCUAAGAAGAGAGAAUGCCGGAAUGAGUAGCGAGAGGAAGGUGAGAAUCCUUCCGGCCGAAUAUCCAAGGUUUCCAGAGUAAAGCUGAUCUGCUCUGGGUAAGUCGGGGCCUAAGGCGAGGUCGAAAGACGUAGUCGAUGGAUAACAGGUGGAGAUUCCUGUACUAUGUGUACCCAGAACUGUGGGGACGCAUGUGGAGAGCAUGAGCCGGGAAAGAAAAGACCGGUACAAGCGGGGUAGGAGUAAGGACAGCAAAUCUUCCUUACAAUCCGAAGACGUGAUGUGGACCGAACCAAAGUAGGGAAGCAUGUGAGCCAUGUGCCAAGAAAAGCCGCUAUUGUGAUACACAUACCCGUACCGUAAACCGACACAGGUGGAUGAGGAGAGAAUCCUAAGGCCGACGGAAGAAGCAUUGUUAAGGAACUCGGCAAAAUGACCCCGUAACUUCGGGAGAAGGGGUGCCCUGUGAAAGCAGGGCCGCAGAGAAUAGGCUCAAGCAACUGUUUAGCAAAAACACAGGUCUAUGCGAAACCGAAAGGUGAGGUAUAUGGGCUGACGCCUGCCCGGUGCUGGAAGGUUAAGAGGAGAAGUCAGGCAACGAAGCUUCGAAUUUAAGCCCCAGUAAACGGCGGCCGUAACUAUAACGGUCCUAAGGUAGCGAAAUUCCUUGUCGGGUAAGUUCCGACCCGCACGAAAGGCGUAAUGAUUUGAGCACUGUCUCGACAAUGCAUCCGGUGAAAUUGAAGUACCAGUGAAGAUGCUGGUUACCUGCGCCAGGACGGAAAGACCCCAUGGAGCUUUACUCCAGCUUGAUACUGGGAUUCGAUACUGUAUGUACAGGAUAGGUGGGAGACGUUGAACAUAGAACGCCAGUUUUAUGUGAGUCGCUGUUGGGAUACCACCCUUGCAGUAUUGGAUUUCUAACCUGCACCCAUGACCUGGGUGGGGGACAAUGUCUGGCGGGGAGUUUGACUGGGGCGGUCGCCUCCGAAAGGGUAUCGGAGGCGCUCAAAGGUUCCCUCAGAAUGGUUGGAAACCAUUCGAAGAGUGCAAAGGCAGAAGGGAGCUUGACUGUGACACCGACGGGUGGAACAGGUACGAAAGUAGGACUUAGUGAUCCGGUGGUAUAAAGUGGGAUUGCCAUCGCUCAACGGAUAAAAGCUACCCUGGGGAUAACAGGCUUAUCACUCCCAAGAGUUCACAUCGACGGAGUGGUUUGGCACCUCGAUGUCGGCUCAUCGCAUCCUGGGGCUGUAGCAGGUCCCAAGGGUUGGGCUGUUCGCCCAUUAAAGCGGUACGCGAGCUGGGUUCAGAACGUCGUGAGACAGUUCGGUCCCUAUCCGGCGCAGGCGGAGGAUAUUUGAGAGGAGCUGUCCUUAGUACGAGAGGACCGGGAUGGACGGACCACUGGUGUAUCUGUUGGCUAUCGGAGCCAUGGCAGAGUAGCCAAGUCCGGCAGGGAUAAACGCUGAAGGCAUCUAAGCGUGAAGCCCCCCUCAAGAUGAGAUAUCCCUCAGAAAUGAGUAAGACCCCUUGAAGACUACGAGGUAGAUAGGAAUGAGGUGUAAGCACAGCAAUGUGUUCAGCUGACAUUUACUAAUCGGUCGAGGGCUUGACCAA
RNAcentral lists this ribosomal RNA (2918 nucleotides) under uncultured Clostridium sp. Its description in RNAcentral is "bacterial LSU rRNA". It matches the Rfam family "Bacterial large subunit ribosomal RNA". Lineage: Bacteria; Bacillati; Bacillota; Clostridia; Eubacteriales; Clostridiaceae. The record is from RNAcentral.